Molecule: ribosomal RNA, 491 nt
Filed under: uncultured bacterium
Lineage: Bacteria
Description: partial 16S ribosomal RNA
Rfam family: Bacterial small subunit ribosomal RNA
Source: RNAcentral
GUGAACGCUGGCGGUAGGCCUGACACCUGCAAGUCGAACGGCAGCACAGUAAGAGCUUGCUCUUACGGGUGGCGAGUGGCGGACGGGUGAGGAAUACAUCGGAAUCUACUUUUUCGUGGGGGAUAACGUAGGGAAACUUACGCUAAUACCGCAUACGACCUACGGGUGAAAGCAGGGGAUCUUCGGACCUUGCGCGAUUGAAUGAGCCGAUGUCGGAUUAGCUAGUUGGCGGGGUAAAGGCCCACCAAGGCGACGAUCCGUAGCUGGUCUGAGAGGAUGAUCAGCCACACUGGAACUGAGACACGGUCCAGACUCCUACGGGAGGCAGCAGUGGGGAAUAUUGGACAAUGGGCGCAAGCCUGAUCCAGCCAUACCGCGUGGGUGAAGAAGGCCUUCGGGUUGUAAAGCCCUUUUGUUGGGAAAGAAAAGCAGCAGGUUAAUACCCCGCUGUUCUGACGGUACCCAAAGAAUAAGCACCGGCUAACUUCGUG